This 459-nucleotide ribosomal RNA is filed under the name Companilactobacillus farciminis. RNAcentral's name for it is "bacterial SSU rRNA". It matches the Rfam family "Bacterial small subunit ribosomal RNA", at positions 420 to 870 of the family's 1533-position model. The record is from RNAcentral. Lineage: Bacteria; Bacillati; Bacillota; Bacilli; Lactobacillales; Lactobacillaceae.
GGAUCGUAAAACUCUGUUAUUGAAGAAGAACAUGCGUGAGAGUAACUGUUCACGUACUGACGGUAUUCAAUCAGAAAGCCACGGCUAACUACGUGCCAGCAGCCGCGGUAAUACGUAGGUGGCAAGCGUUGUCCGGAUUUAUUGGGCGUAAAGAGAAUGUAGGCGGUUUAUUAAGUUUGAAGUGAAAGCCCUCGGCUCAACCGAGGAAGUGCUUCGAAAACUGGUAAACUUGAGUGCAGAAGAGGAAAGUGGAACUCCAUGUGUAGCGGUGGAAUGCGUAGAUAUAUGGAAGAACACCAGUGGCGAAGGCGGCUUUCUGGUCUGUAACUGACGCUGAGAUUCGAAAGCAUGGGUAGCAAACAGGAUUAGAUACCCUGGUAGUCCAUGCCGUAAACGAUGAGUGCUAAGUGUUGGAGGGUUUCCGCCCUUCAGUGCUGCAGCUAACGCAUUAAGCACUCC